Callorhinus ursinus (northern fur seal) is the source of this 373-nucleotide long non-coding RNA. RefSeq lists it as uncharacterized. The record is from RefSeq and is a predicted model, not a curated record. NCBI's taxonomy places the organism in Eukaryota, Metazoa, Chordata, Mammalia, Carnivora, Otariidae.
CCCCUGGUGAUGAAAACUGAAGAAAAAUCCAUCACUGAGGCACUCAAAGUUUAUAAUCCUUACCAGUGACCUCUCCAUGAACCCAAAUUUAAGGACGUUUUUAAAAGGAAAGAGUGUCAAAAUCUGCCCAGAGCGCUGUCCAGCCCUGGGACAACUCCUGGUGAGGCAGAAGAAAGGGAAACCCUCCUGCUGGUCUUUGAAGAAGCCGCUGGACAGACUGAGCCACAACCACAGUCCUUUGAGAAGAGUCCACUUCCUCUGGCACCAGCGAAUGAACCAGGACUUCAGGCUGCCAUACACACCGUCCUCACUGUUCCUGCCGAUCUUGUGUUUGGGGGAUGACCAGCCAUUUAAAACACACAGUGCAUUCUUA